CACGGAUCCAGAGUUUGAUUAUGGCUCAGGAUGAACGCUAGCGGCAGGCUUAACACAUGCAAGUCGAGGGGCAUCGUGGAGUAGCAAUACUCUGACGGCGACCGGCGAAAGGGUGAGUAACGCGUGAGCAACAUGCCCGGGACUGGGGGAUAGUCGAUGGAAACGUCGCGUAAUACCCCGUAACAACAGAGGCCGCAUGACCUUUGUUUAAGAGAUUUAUCGAUUCCGGAUUGGCUCGCGUCCCAUUAGGCAGUUGGCGGGGUAACGGCCCACCAAACCGACGAUGGGUAGGGGUUCUGAGAGGAAGGUCCCCCACAUUGGAACUGAGACACGGUCCAGACUCCUACGGGAGGCAGCAGUGAGGAAUAUUGGUCAAUGGACGGAGGUCUGAACCAGCCAAGUCGCGUGGGGGAAGAAGGUCCUACGGAUUGUAAACCCCUUUUGCCGGGGAGUAAAGGGCGCCACGGGUGGCGCGUUGAGAGUACCCGGAGAAAAAGCAUCGGCUAACUCCGUGCCAGCAGCCGCGGUAAUACGGAGGAUGCGAGCGUUAUCCGGAUUUAUUGGGUUUAAAGGGUGCGCAGGCGGCGGCUCAAGUCGGCGGUUAAAGUUCCGGGCUCAACCCGGUGAUGCCGUCGAUACUGUGUCGCUGGAGUGGGAUCGAGGCAUGCGGAAUGCGUGGUGUAGCGGUGAAAUGCAUAGAUAUCACGCAGAACUCCGAUUGCGAAGGCAGCGUGCCAGGUCCCUACUGACGCUGAGGCACGAAAGCGUGGGUAUCGAACAGGAUUAGAUACCCUGGUAGUCCACGCGGUAAACGAUGAAUACUGGUUGUCCGGGGCGAUCGGGUCCUGGGCGACAUCAGCGAAAGCGUUAAGUAUUCCACCUGGGGAGUACGCCGGCAACGGUGAAACUCAAAGGAAUUGACGGGGGCCCGCACAAGCGGAGGAACAUGUGGUUUAAUUCGAUGAUACGCGAGGAACCUUACCCGGGCUCAAACGGCGCAGGACGCGUGCGGAAACGCUCGUUCCCUUCGGGGCCUGUGCCGAGGUGCUGCAUGGUUGUCGUCAGCUCGUGCCGUGAGGUGUCGGCUUAAGUGCCAUAACGAGCGCAACCCCCAUUCCCAGUUGCCAUCGGGUGAUGCCGGGCACUCUGGGGAGACUGCCGGCGCAAGCUGCGAGGAAGGCGGGGAUGACGUCAAAUCAGCACGGCCCUUACGUCCGGGGCGACACACGUGUUACAAUGGCGGAGCACAGAAGGAAGCUGCCUGGCGACAGGCCGGCCGAUCCCCAAAAUCCGUCUCAGUUCGGAUCGGAGUCUGCAACCCGACUCCGUGAAGCUGGAUUCGCUAGUAAUCGCGCAUCAGCCAUGGCGCGGUGAAUACGUUCCCGGGCCUUGUACACACCGCCCGUCAAGCCAUGGAAGCUUGGAGUGCCUGAAGCGCGUGACCGUCAAGGAGCGCUCUAGGGUAAGACAAGUGACUGGGGCUAAGUCGUAACAAGGUAGCCGUAAGCUUCAC
This 1513-nucleotide ribosomal RNA is filed under the name uncultured bacterium. Its description in RNAcentral is "bacterial SSU rRNA". It matches the Rfam family "Bacterial small subunit ribosomal RNA". The record is from RNAcentral.